UUCGGACUUACCUAUGUUGGUAGAAUCAUCUCUCAAAACAUUUUCAACAACCUUACUUACCACCUCUAAAUCAUCAACAUCAUCAGAUUUGGUGUAAUUGGUCAACCAUGUUCAAACCUUUUGCCACCUUUUCGUCAUCAUAGAACGUGUAAUUAUCCCUCAAUGGUGGGGGCACCUGAGGAUAUUCUGAACCAAUACCUUUUUUGUUCUUUUCAGAAUCUUUGUCAUCUGGUGUGAUGUUGAAAAUACAUUCGAGAAUGUACGAAGAACUAUUAUAACUUUGAAGUUUUGUAACAAUCUUUUCUUUUUCAGCCAAUUUUUGUUUUAGUUUAGCAAUUUCAUCAAUACAUUUAUUUAACUCCUGUUGCUUUUCUUGAUAUUUGGCCUCAACAAGUCUUGUUGUUUUUAAACUUUCUGACAAUCUACCGUCCAUACAUUUGACUUGUCUUUUCAAAGUAUCAUAAGCUUGUUGUAUGCUAUUAUUUGAUCAUUUCAUUCUCUCAUAUUUUUUCUGUAAUUCUU
This 522-nucleotide long non-coding RNA is filed under the name Helianthus annuus (common sunflower). RNAcentral's name for it is "hypothetical non coding rna". The record is from RNAcentral. Lineage: Eukaryota; Viridiplantae; Streptophyta; Magnoliopsida; Asterales; Asteraceae.